This 457-nucleotide ribosomal RNA is filed under the name uncultured Syntrophorhabdus sp. RNAcentral describes it as "bacterial SSU rRNA". It matches the Rfam family "Bacterial small subunit ribosomal RNA", at positions 929 to 1382 of the family's 1533-position model. Lineage: Bacteria; Pseudomonadati; Thermodesulfobacteriota; Syntrophorhabdia; Syntrophorhabdales; Syntrophorhabdaceae. The record is from RNAcentral.
GCGGUGGAGCAUGUGGUUUAAUUCGACGCAACGACGUAAAACCUUACCUUGGGUUUGACAUGCCGAGGAUCCUGAUGAAAGUCGGGAGUGCCCCGUAAGGGGAACUUGGACACAGGUGCUGCAUGGCUGUCGUCAGCUCGUGCCGUGAGGUGUUGGGUUAAGUCCCGCAACGAGCGCAACCCUCAUCCUUAGUUGCCAUCAUUAAGUUGGGCACCCUAAGGAAACUGCCGCAGUUAAUGCGGAGGAAGGUGGGAUGACGUCAAGUCCUCAUGGCCCUUAUAUCCAGGGCUACACACGUGCUACAAUGAGCGGCACAAAGGGUCGCGAACCCGCGAGGGGGAGCUAAUCCCACAAAUCCGCUCCUAAUUCGGAUUGGAGUCUGCAACCCGACUCCAUGAAGCUGGAAUCGCUAGUAAUUGCAGAUCAGCAUGCUGCAGUGAAUACGUUCCCGGGCCUU